GCAGUACUUAGUUUUCAACAACAUAAUCAAUAUUAACUACUGACGUUACGCAUGAUAUUGGUGUCACUUUUGGUAACGUCGUAUGAUAACGUCAAAGUCGUGUACUUUAUUGACGUGAUGUUUUAUUGCCUUCUAAUAAGCGAGAACUACGAUCAAUAUGAAUCCUGCUUAAAAAUAUUAUAGGUUCUCAAUUUGUUACGCCCAUUUCCCCGUCUUGAAAAAAAUGAAGAUUUUCAUAGCUAGUAAUACAAUAAUCAACAACCGAUUGACCCUUUGAUGAAACACAUAUGAGGUCAUUGUUUUUACCUGAGACAUAUUGUAUUAUAUGUCUCUGUUUUUACCAACUCUACCUUUUAACAUACAACAAUUGCUACUUGUUAAAAAAUUAUACUUCUUAUGUCGCUCGUCUAUACAGGGAGAUAAUUUUAGGCGAAAAAGAGGUUUAUUGAGUAGCAGAACAAAUCAAUAAUACUAUAUCAGUUACACUACUCAUACUUAUGAUAUCUUUGAGGGCCCUCAUGGGGUUUUUGAUUAUGUGAUUACUUGGCUGUUUUUUUAAUGAUUAUUUGAUUAUUAAGCCAAAUAUUUCAUGAUUAUUUGAUUACCUAGGACUGUAUUUUUAGUUUAUGAUUAUUUGAUUACUAAAGAUAAGCAAAUAUUUAAUGAUUAUGUGAUUAUAUUGGCAAAAAAAUGGUGAUUAUGUGAUUACUAGGACCCCCAUGAGGGGCCUCAUCUUUGGUUACCAAGUACAAUGUAUAAGUAAGAUGUUUCAUGAACAGUUCUAAGGUUACACACUCACAUUACAUUGUAUAAAAGAGCGUUUUCUUGUAUCGUAUAAUUAUUUUCUUUUGAACAAACCAUCCAUCUUUUUUUUUAUUUAUUUAUCCAAAGCUGGUACAGUAACUUAAAAUAUCAAAAAUAGAAAAGGGGCGAAAAGAGGUGUACCUGUAAACACUGAUUGAAACACGACUCUGAUAACAAUCAUUCUUAGUUAUACAUAAAUAGCACGAAAUAUAUCAAAUCAUUUUUAAUUACUAAAAAAAUAAUGGAAAGAAGAAGCCUUUUUUUUUUUUUUUUUUUUUAUAUAAAACAUAUUAGACAUCACAUGGGAUAACAGUAUCCUGAAAUUUUAAGGUCGUGCAUCUAUAAAAAAAAUUGUUAAACCUAUUUAAACCGGAAUUAAAUAAGUUGAUUUAAAUCUCUUAUAUAAGGUUAGCGUUUGAAAUAAAUAAUUCAGAGCUAUUUGGUGUUCCCAGUGCCAAACAUUUAGAAGUAACAGUGAAAACUGACCAAUUCGCAGUAAACCAAAUAGUAUUAUUCGCCUUUUUGACGUUCCCGAUGAAGGUAGAUCCAGAAAAAGCGCUUCGGUCGCCAUGCGCGUAGCUACGUUUACGUCAAAACGCCCGGGCGUACACUUGAAUUUUGAAAAUGAAAAAAAAAAUAAAUAGAAUAAGAAAAUCUGGUUAAAAGCACAUCAGCCGUGUGAUUUCUUUCUGCAGUGGAUUGUAAUUGUGAAUAAAAAGGGACUGGAUUUACUUUAAUCAACUAGAUCCUAUUAUAUAUUUCUUCCAAUUUUCUGUCAAAGUCUGAAUCUACUUUGAAUUCUGCGUACUUUUCAUAUAUUUAAUGCAAUUCAUUAUCUGCUGAGAUUCGAUAUGCGGUUUGCAUUUUUU
This 1673-nucleotide long non-coding RNA is filed under the name Mytilus galloprovincialis (Mediterranean mussel). The record is from RNAcentral. Lineage: Eukaryota; Metazoa; Mollusca; Bivalvia; Mytilida; Mytilidae.